AACAUGGUGGAGCUAUUUUGCAGAAAUUCUGCAACUGAGCACCCGUCCUUCCAUUGCAUUUCAUGUUGUGGUUGGAUAGGAGAUCAAUUCGGCACAGAUUUGUGCCAAGGAAAAGAAAUAUUGUCAGCAUUAAUUUCAUUCUCUUAAGGAGUUUGGCUUCAGGGGGGAUGUUGUUUUUGUUGCAUUAUAUUUUGUAUGACUCUUGACAAUGGAUAUCUUGGCUCUUGCAUCGAUGAAGAGCGUAGCGAAAUGCGAUACAUGGUGCGAAUUGCAGAAUCCCGUGAACCAUCGAGUUUUUGAAUGCAAGUUGCGCCAGAGGCCCAGCAGGCCAAAGGCACGUCUGCCUGGGAAUCAAGCAGUUCAUCGCUCUGUUUAAAAUCAUCGAAUAAAAAAAAUGGUUUUUUACAGAUGCGGAGAGUGUCCCGUCGCGUGCGGCGCAGCGGGAUCAAGGUUGGGUUUAUUUCUUCUUGACAGUGAUCGAUAUUUGGGUGGUGGACUAUGUUGCACGCGGCCUGUAUAAUUGUCUGAUUGCCUAGGGGAAGGCCUUGAAAAAUUUGACCCUUAUAUAGUGGGUGGCAUGCAAAAAUGUGACCCCAGGACAGGCGGGGUAACCCGCUGAGUUUAAGCAUAUAAAUAA
This 637-nucleotide ribosomal RNA is filed under the name Disperis renibractea. RNAcentral describes it as "eukaryotic LSU rRNA". The stretch from base 198 to 354 matches the Rfam family "5.8S ribosomal RNA". The record is from RNAcentral. Lineage: Eukaryota; Viridiplantae; Streptophyta; Magnoliopsida; Asparagales; Orchidaceae.